AAAGUCGUAACAAGGUUUCCGUAGGUGAACCUGCGGAAGGAUCAUUAUUGAUUUUCUUAGAAGAUGUGCUGGCAUUGCAGGUGCACUCUUCAAAACCAAUAAUCCACCUGUGCACUUUUGGUAGGCAACCAUGCCUAUGCAUUUUACAAACAACUAUUGAUGUAAUUGAAUGUGUUGAAUCAUGUAAUACAACUUUCAACAACGGAUCUCUUGGUUCUC
This 219-nucleotide unclassified non-coding RNA is filed under the name Basidiomycota sp. RNAcentral's name for it is "partial contains small subunit ribosomal RNA, internal transcribed spacer 1, and 5.8S ribosomal RNA". The stretch from base 1 to 47 matches the Rfam family "Eukaryotic small subunit ribosomal RNA", at positions 1785 to 1831 of the family's 1831-position model. Lineage: Eukaryota; Fungi; Basidiomycota. The record is from RNAcentral.